CGGCAACAGCUCAAAUUUGAAAUCUGGCUCUUUCAGGGUCCGAGUUGUAAUUUGUAGAGGGUGCUUUGGCGUCGGCCGUGGUCUAAGUUCCUUGGAACAGGACGUCACAGAGGGUGAGAACCCCGUACGUGGCUACUGGCCUUCGCCGUGUAAAGCCCCUUCGAC
Molecule: ribosomal RNA, 165 nt
Filed under: Phoma sp.
Lineage: Eukaryota; Fungi; Ascomycota; Dothideomycetes; Pleosporales; Didymellaceae
Description: partial large subunit ribosomal RNA
Rfam family: Eukaryotic large subunit ribosomal RNA
Source: RNAcentral